RNAcentral lists this ribosomal RNA (466 nucleotides) under uncultured bacterium. RNAcentral's name for it is "bacterial SSU rRNA". It matches the Rfam family "Bacterial small subunit ribosomal RNA", at positions 328 to 792 of the family's 1533-position model. The record is from RNAcentral.
UUGCCAGACUCCUACGGGAGGCAGCAGUGAGGAAUAUUGGUCAAUGGCCGUAAGGCUGAACCAGCCAAGUAGCGUGAGGGAAGACUGCCCUAUGGGUUGUAAACCUCUUUUAUGCGGGGAUAAAGGUGUCCACGUGUGGAUGUUUGCAGGUACCGCAUGAAUAAGGACCGGCUAAUUCCGUGCCAGCAGCCGCGGUAAUACGGAGGAUGCGAGCGUUAUCCGGAUUUAUUGGGUUUAAAGGGUGCGCAGGCGGAAGAUAAAGUCAGGGGUAAAAUUGAGGGGCUCAACCUCUUCGAGCCGUUGAAACUGGUUUUCUUGAGUGAGCGAGAAGUAUGCGGAAUGCGUGGUGUAGCGGUGAAAUGCAUAGAUAUCACGCAGAACUCCGAUUGCGAAGGCAGCAUACCGGCGCUCAACUGACGCUCAUGCACGAAAGUGUGGGUAUCGAACAGGAUUAGAUACCCCUGUA